RNAcentral lists this ribosomal RNA (406 nucleotides) under uncultured bacterium. RNAcentral's name for it is "partial 16S ribosomal RNA". It matches the Rfam family "Bacterial small subunit ribosomal RNA", at positions 30 to 526 of the family's 1533-position model. The record is from RNAcentral.
AUUGAACGCUGGCGGCAGGCCUAACACAAGCAAGUCGAACGCGUGGCGGACGGGUGAGUCAUGCCUGGGAAGCAGCCUGAUGGUGGUGGAUAAUUACUGUAAACCGUAGCCAAUACUGCAUGCUAUGGGCUGUGGCCAGAUGGGAUUUGCUAGAAGGUGGGGUAAAGGCUCCCCUAGGCGACGAUCCCUAGCUGGGCUGAGAGGAUGACCAGCCACACUGGAUCUGAGCCACGGUCCAGGCUCCUGCGGGAGGCAGCAGUGGGGAAUAUUGCACAAGGGGCGCACGCCUGAUUCGACCAAGCCGCGUGUGUUGAUGCGGCCUUCGGGUUGUAAAGUACUUUCGGCGGGGGGGCGUUACCAACAGAAUAAGCACCUGCUAGCUCCGUGCCAGCAGCCGCGGUAAUAC